Molecule: ribosomal RNA, 302 nt
Filed under: uncultured bacterium
Lineage: Bacteria
Description: partial 16S ribosomal RNA
Rfam family: Bacterial small subunit ribosomal RNA
Source: RNAcentral
GCAGCAGCCACGGUAACACGUAGGGUGCAAGCGUUAAUCGGAAUUACUGGGCGUAAAGCGUGCGCAGGCGGUUAUAUAAGACAGAUGUGAAAUCCCCGGGCUCAACCUGGGAACUGCAUUUGUGACUGUAUAGCUAGAGUACGGCAGAGGGGGAUGGAAUUCCGCGUGUAGCAGUGAAAUGCGUAGAUAUGCGGAGGAACACCGAUGGCGAAGGCAAUCCCCUGGGCCUGUACUGACGCUCAUGCACGAAAGCGUGGGGAGCAAACAGGAUUAGAUACCCCCGUAGUCCCUGUCUCUUAUAC